This 73-nucleotide transfer RNA is filed under the name Entransia fimbriata. RNAcentral's name for it is "tRNA-Phe". It matches the Rfam family "tRNA". Rfam says of the family: Transfer RNA (tRNA) molecules are approximately 80 nucleotides in length. Their secondary structure includes four short double-helical elements and three loops (D, anti-codon, and T loops). Lineage: Eukaryota; Viridiplantae; Streptophyta; Klebsormidiophyceae; Entransiales; Entransiaceae. The record is from RNAcentral.
GCCGAGAUAGCUCAGUUGGUAGAGCAAGGGACUGAAAAUCCCUGUGUCACCAGUUCAAUUCUGGUUCCCGGCA